UACGUAUGGGGCAAGCGUUAUCCGGAUUUACUGGGUGUAAAGGGAGCGCAGGCGGCCUGGCAAGCCUGAUGUGAAAUACCGGGGCCCAACCCCGGGGCUGCAUUGGGAACUGCCAGGCUGGAGUGCCGGAGGGGCAGGCGGAAUUCCUAGUGUAGCGGUGAAAUGCGUAGAUAUUAGGAGGAACACCAGUGGCGAAGGCGGCCUGCUGGACGGUGACUGACGCUGAGGCUCGAAAGCGUGGGGAGCAAACAGG
Molecule: ribosomal RNA, 253 nt
Filed under: uncultured bacterium
Lineage: Bacteria
Description: partial 16S ribosomal RNA
Rfam family: Bacterial small subunit ribosomal RNA
Source: RNAcentral